Long non-coding RNA from Myotis davidii, 161 nucleotides. RefSeq lists it as uncharacterized. Lineage: Eukaryota; Metazoa; Chordata; Mammalia; Chiroptera; Vespertilionidae. The record is from RefSeq and is a predicted model, not a curated record. The transcript has 3 exons.
ACAUCAACUGAAAUCUAUGCUCAAUCCUCUCAGCCUUCCAGCUGUUGCCUUUCACAUAUGCAGUUCAAGAAUCAGCUAGGAAUUUGGACAAGAGAUGAUUUUCUAGGUCAAGUGGAUGUUCCUCUUUACCCAUUACCGACAGAAAAUCCAAGAAUGGAGAG